GAUGAACGCUGGCGGCGUGCCUAAUACAUGCAAGUCGAGCGAACGGACGAGAAGCUUGCUUCCCUGAUGUUAGCGGCGGACGGGUGAGUAACACGUGGAUAACCUACCUAUAAGACUGGGAUACUUCGGGAAACCGGAGCUAAUACCGGAUAAUAUUUUGAACCGCAUGGUUCAAAAGUGAAAGACGGUCUUGCUGUCACUUAUAGAUGGAUCCGCGCUGCAUUAGCUAGUUGGUAAGGUAACGGCUUACCAAGGCAACGAUGCAUAGCCGACCUGAGAGGGUGAUCGGCCACACUGGAACUGAGACACGGUCCAGACUCCUACGGGAGGCAGCAGUAGGGAAUCUUCCGCAAUGGGCGAAAGCCUGACGGAGCAACGCCGCGUGAGUGAUGAAGGUCUUCGGAUCGUAAAACUCUGUUAUUAGGGAAGAACAUAUGUGUAAGUAACUGUGCACAUCUUGACGGUACCUAAUCAGAAAGCCACGGCUAACUACGUG
Molecule: ribosomal RNA, 496 nt
Filed under: uncultured bacterium
Lineage: Bacteria
Description: partial 16S ribosomal RNA
Rfam family: Bacterial small subunit ribosomal RNA
Source: RNAcentral